AUUGAACGCUGGCGGCAUGCCUAACACAUGCAAGUCGAACGGUAACAGGCCCUUCGGGGUGCUGACGAGUGGCGGAUGGGUGAGUAAUACUUAGGAAUCUACCCUGUAGUGGGGGACAACCCGGGGAAACUCGGGCUAAUACCGCAUACACUCUACGGAGGAAAGCGGGGGACCGCAAGGCCUCGCGCUAUUGGAUGAGCCUAAGCCCGAUUAGCUAGUUGGUGGGGUAAUAGCCACCAAGGCAGUGAUCGGUAGCUGGUCUGAGAGGACGACCAGCCACACUGGGACUGAGACACGGCCCAGACUCC
This 308-nucleotide ribosomal RNA is filed under the name uncultured bacterium. RNAcentral's name for it is "bacterial SSU rRNA". It matches the Rfam family "Bacterial small subunit ribosomal RNA", at positions 30 to 339 of the family's 1533-position model. The record is from RNAcentral.